AGAACUGACUCCAUAUACCAAGCAGGGGGUGCAUAGAGUUUUCACACUGGAGUUUAAUUAAGAAGAGACAGCAGGUCCAGGGGAAAGAGGUUGAAUUCCCUCUGGGCCUGGAACCAAGCCAUGAAGAUCUUGGAGCCAGGACUCUAGACCCGAUGUUCCCAUUCACCAAGUGGAGAAGCCCUGAGGAUCCAGGAUGCCUGGGACUCAAGCCUAAGGGAGGCUUUGGACUUGGCUCUUGGGACUGUGCUAUGUAGGAGCUGAAUUAAACUGUGAUGUCCAUCUCCUUUCUUUCCCUCAAGCAGAUGGUGCCAGAGGAAUCACUGCUAAACAAGUAAGCACUGAGGAUAAAAAGACAAAAGUACAGAGUUUCUCUUCUCAAAGAGCUUCCAUUUUCUUCCAUAAAAGUGGGUUAAUAACAUGGAAUCAAGUAAAAAGAAAAGAUGAAGAGCAAAUUCAAAGUAAUUUGGUAUCUACAGGAAGAAACACUGGGAUGAAGAGAGUGAAGUACCAUCUGUCCCUCUAAGGUCUGCAGUUGAUUGCCCAAGACUUUAGAAUCCGUGCAUCUUCUUAGUCUUUCUCAGCAGAAAGUAAGCUG
Molecule: long non-coding RNA, 595 nt
Filed under: Monodelphis domestica (gray short-tailed opossum)
Lineage: Eukaryota; Metazoa; Chordata; Mammalia; Didelphimorphia; Didelphidae
Description: lncRNA (ENSMODG00000044153.1)
Source: RNAcentral